CAGUCGCGCGGUAAUACAGAGGGUGCAAGCGUUAAUCGGAAUUACUGGGCGUAAAGCGCGCGUAGGUGGUUUGUUAAGUUGGAUGUGAAAUCCCCGGGCUCAACCUGGGAACUGCAUCCAAAACUGGCAAGCUAGAGUAUGGUAGAGGGUGGUGGAAUUUCCUGUGUAGCGGUGAAAUGCGUAGAUAUAGGAAGGAACACCAGUGGCGAAGGCGACCACCUGGACUGAUACUGACACUGAGGUGCGAAAGCGUGGGGAGCAAACAGGAUUAGAUACCCCCGUAGUCCCUGUCUCUUAUACA
RNAcentral lists this ribosomal RNA (301 nucleotides) under uncultured bacterium. Its description in RNAcentral is "partial 16S ribosomal RNA". It matches the Rfam family "Bacterial small subunit ribosomal RNA", at positions 509 to 808 of the family's 1533-position model. The record is from RNAcentral.